UUUUUUUUUUUUUUUUUUUUUUUUUUUUUUUUUUUUCUUCU
This 41-nucleotide non-coding RNA is filed under the name Prorocentrum micans. Lineage: Eukaryota; Dinophyceae; Prorocentrales; Prorocentraceae. The record is from RNAcentral.